Rosellinia necatrix is the source of this 45-nucleotide non-coding RNA. The record is from Rfam. Lineage: Eukaryota; Fungi; Ascomycota; Sordariomycetes; Xylariales; Xylariaceae.
AAACAGGUUUUUUUAAAAACUAUAAAAUCUGUUUUAAACUAUAUA